UGGGGAAUAUUGCACAAUGGGCGAAAGCCUGAUGCAGCAACGCCGCGUGAGUGAUGAAGGCCUUCGGGUUGUAAAGCUCUGUCUUUUGGGACGAUAAUGACGGUACCAAAGGAGGAAGCCACGGCUAACUACGUGCCAGCAGCCGCGGUAAUACGUAGGUGGCAAGCGUUGUCCGGAUUUACUGGGCGUAAAGGAUGCGUAGGCGGAUUUUUAAGUGAGAUGUGAAAUACCCGGGCUUAACUUGGGUGCUGCAUUUCAAACUGGGAAUCUAGAGUGCGGGAGAGGAGAAUGGAAUUCCUAGUGUAGCGGUGAAAGUGACGUAGAGAUUAGGAAGAACACCAGUGGCGAAGGCGAUUCUCUGGACCGUAACUGACGCUGAGGCAUGAAAGCGUGGGUAGCAAACAGGAUUAGAUACCCUGGUAGUCCACGCCGUAAACGAUGAGUACUAGGUGUAGGAGGUAUCGACCCCUUCUGUGCCGCAGUUAACACAAUAAGUACUCCGCCUGGGAAGU
Molecule: ribosomal RNA, 512 nt
Filed under: uncultured bacterium
Lineage: Bacteria
Description: partial 16S ribosomal RNA
Rfam family: Bacterial small subunit ribosomal RNA
Source: RNAcentral